Molecule: small RNA, 123 nt
Filed under: Marmota monax (woodchuck)
Lineage: Eukaryota; Metazoa; Chordata; Mammalia; Rodentia; Sciuridae
Source: RNAcentral
GCCAGGCAUGGUGGCACAUGCCUGUAAUCCCAGUGACUUGGGAGGCUAAGAUAGGAGGAUCACAAAUUCAAAGCCAGCCUCAGCAACUUAGUGAGGCCCUAAGCAACUUAGACUCUAUCUCUA